CGGGGUGUAGCGCAGCUUGGUAGCGCGCCUGCUUUGGGAGCAGGAAGUCGCGAGUUCAAAUCUCGCCGCCCCGACCA
RNAcentral lists this transfer RNA (77 nucleotides) under Armatimonadota bacterium. RNAcentral's name for it is "Armatimonadetes bacterium (hot springs metagenome) tRNA-Pro". It matches the Rfam family "tRNA". From Rfam's summary of the family: Transfer RNA (tRNA) molecules are approximately 80 nucleotides in length. Their secondary structure includes four short double-helical elements and three loops (D, anti-codon, and T loops). Lineage: Bacteria; Bacillati; Armatimonadota. The record is from RNAcentral.